Molecule: long non-coding RNA, 1894 nt
Filed under: Homo sapiens (human)
Lineage: Eukaryota; Metazoa; Chordata; Mammalia; Primates; Hominidae
Description: PREDICTED lncRNA (TCONS_00083030)
Source: RNAcentral
AAAAGCACUGGAUUAAAUAAACCGCUCUACAAUUCUGUAUGAAGGUCUGAAAACACUAAGCUAAUCUGUCGUAUUAGAAAUCAGAACAGUGGCUUCUUUGCAUAGUACAGACUGAGAAGGGCACAGGGAACUUUCUGGAGUGAUGGAAAUGUUCUAUAUCUUGACUGAGGUGAUGGUUACAUGAGUACAUACAUUUGUCAAAACUCAGAAUUGUACUUUAAAAUUUGUACAUUUUACUGUAUGUAAAUUAAGCCUCAAAUUUAAAGUACCUUUAUUUAUUUAUUUGUUUGUUUGUUUAUUUAUUGCAGAAUCUUGCUGUGUUGCCCAGGCAGGAAUGCAGUGGUGCAAUCACGGCUCACUGCAGCCUCUACCUCCUAGGCUCAAGCAAUCCUCAGCCUCCUGAGAGUAGCUGGGACUACAGCUCCUCUCUCGAUCGGAAGAUUUUUACAGCCACCCUACUGAUCUUUAGGGAUUUGUAAACUAUUACCCAGGAAGAAGGCCCAUGGAGCUAAGGCCUCAGAACACCAAAGUCUGGACUGUCUGAGGGCACAUGCUAAUAACAGGAGGCUGGCAAAGUGGCCAGCUCCCAUGCCUUUGCAUGCAUUUGUCUUUACCUCCUGCUGCCUGGGAACAUCCUUCCAGGAGCAAUCGAGUCAACAGCACCACAGACACUGCUAUUCCGUUGAGAAAAGUUUUAUAUGGAAACACAUACUGAUCAUGAACACAAUAAACAGGGAGGGAAGCUCGGGCUCAGCCAGGAAACCUGCCACAAGGAAGAUGUUUGGAACUAUCCAGGAGUAGUGUCAAACACUAACACCAUAUUUACAAGUCUAAUUUGGAACCUGGCCCUUUUUAAGUGCAGGAGGAAGUUGGAGGAGAAGCCAUGCAUGAAGUAAAAAAUACAUAUACACAGACAUAAACACCCACAUUUUCACACUUCUUUUGCCCAUUUGUUCCACAAGGAACAAAUGAGAGAAAGAAGCCCAGCCUCUCUCCCUGGAGUCCGUAUACUUACUACAGAUUUGUUAGAGAAGCCCCAGAUGGGGCUUGGAUUCAAGGAGCAGACUUCACUCUUACUGGCCCCACUCACGUGACAAUUCACCAAGGGAAUGCUUGGGACACAAGCAUGAAUGUCCGGAAGAGGCAAGAAAAUAUAUGGCUCACUUAACUUACACAUUACACAUAAGAGGCCUCAGUUUCUCCAAGUACUUUCACAUUUGAUCUUUAGCAGACUUCUAACCUGCAGAGACAGAGCUCAGCCAAGCUGUGAGACACAGAGGAAAGCAGCAUUUUGAUCCAGUGUGCACUGGGUCAGUCACUUCAUCCGAGACAGUCACACAUGCCAGCCCCAGGUAAGUCCCUGGGGGCUUGCAGCUGUUUUCUUUGUGGAGUGGAAAUUUGGGUUUUUUCCUUCAGUGGAUUUCUCCCUGCUGCUGUCACUGAGCUCCACGCUGCUCGCUCUGGACCCGAGACAGCUGCUCGGCGUGUGUGUGUGUGUGUGUGUGUGUGUGUGUGUGUGUGUGUGUGUGUGUGUGUGUGUGUGUGUAAUUUACUGUUCUGCUGCUGCUGGCUUGUCCCCGGCUGCUGGCUCGUCCUCGGCCACUGGCUUCUCAACCUGUGACUCUGGAGGAAUCAGAUACUGGACCUCCUCUGUGCUGACGGCUACUUUAUCUGGCUGGAGCCACCUCUUGAAAUGUUCCAAGGUGCUAUGAAAGGGCAGAAUAAAAGGGUGGCUGUGUCAGACCUCACUGAUUAAUUACUUAAUGAUUAUCUCAGUUACUCAAACACUACCUUCCCGCCCACCAGCAAUUUCUUCCUACAAUUGUUUUUCACUGCUAAACUGGGAAGUACAAGGAUACUCCUAAUGGCAGCUGUGCAUCCUGGCAGCUCUGCG